AGAAUUAAUUAAUCAGUUGGAUAUUCGGGAGUCAAAAACUCGUUAAUUUUAUAAAGGCAUUUUGAAUGAUUUGAUUUAUUAGAUCUUGAAUUUUAAUGAAUUAUGUGAUUUAUUAGUUCCACCUCAUUCUGUCGCGUCUCCUUAGAGAAACUCUGCUCCACCUGUAAGCUUAGCGGAGAAAUGACAGAACCUCUAGUUUCGGGCAUAAAUCCUAACAAACUUAGACCACAGGGGUUUAAAUCCGAAUUUUUUUUACCACAGGGACUAUCUUCCGAAUACCUUAUGACCACAUAGACCAUUUAUCCGAUUUUGCCAACCUAAACCUAAUGGAGGAAUGACAGAAGGACAUAAAUCCUAACAGACUUAGACCACAUGGGUUUAAAUCCUAACAGACUGUGACCACAGGGGUUUAAAUCCGAACUUUUUUACCACAGGGGCUAUCAUCCGAAUACUUUAUGACCACGGGGACCAUUUAUCCAAUUAGGCCUUUUUCUUUCUUUCUCAAGCUCAGCAGCUCUCUCUCACUUGAGUUCCAGAGGCAGGGCUCCAAAAGCUAUGUUAAAAUCUCUCUCUCUCUCUCUCUCUCUCU
RNAcentral lists this long non-coding RNA (589 nucleotides) under Malus domestica (apple). Its description in RNAcentral is "long non-coding RNA (MDOM_LNC009532)". The record is from RNAcentral. Lineage: Eukaryota; Viridiplantae; Streptophyta; Magnoliopsida; Rosales; Rosaceae.